RNAcentral lists this long non-coding RNA (1214 nucleotides) under Serinus canaria (Common canary). RNAcentral's name for it is "lncRNA (ENSSCAG00000014367.1)". Lineage: Eukaryota; Metazoa; Chordata; Aves; Passeriformes; Fringillidae. The record is from RNAcentral.
CACAGCCUGAGCUCAGCCUGUGGGAAUGUGGGCAGCCACUCUGCAUGCCUGCCCAGGGAGCUGUGCCAGCUCACCUCCACCCUGACCUCACACAGCCCCUGUUAUUCCAGCUCUGAGUCCAGCUCCAAGAAGCAGCUUUGUCCUCAGGAGCAAGGUUUGUUUUGAUGGCAGGAUGAUUAAUGUGCCUCAGCUCCACAGCUGUAAAAUCCCUGGGGAGAUGGAGCAUGGCUAAUUUAUACUGUGCCACAGCCAGGUGAGCACAGCACCAGGUCCCUACUCAGGCAUGACCAUGCUCAGGCUCAGUAUUUACCUGACUGUAAAAACUACAGGUGCUUUCCUCAUCUUAUAGUGCCAAAGCUGGUAUCCACUAACCAUCCCACUUGAAAAAAUACCACCCAGCUCCCUAGAGAGGCCACAGUGAGAAGCCAUCAGCUCUAGCAAACGUUUUCUAUGGGAUCAAGGAAAUUGCAGUCACUUUCCUUACACUGGGACUUGAGGCAGCAUUGAAGGAGCAAGCCCUGUCUUCUGCUGUCCUGCAGAGGCAGGUCAGCCCUGGUUUGCCAGCUGGACUGGACUGCAGAAGUGACAGAGAGGGGAGCAAAGGCUGGGGAGAUUUACAAAUCUGCUCUAUACAUUGCAACAGACCUCAUGCAAAGUCAACAUGGCCUUGCAUCAUCAAGCACAGGCUGGAGCCAGGAAAGAGCUCAGCUGGAGAAGCCACAGAAUGAGGAGAGAACAAGCCUGUUCAGUGUCCCUGGGAUCAUAACACCUCCCCUGCCCUGACGACCUGCCUGCUUUGCCUGGAGGGCUGGAAAUUGCAGAGCUGCUGGUGGCUGAUGAGAAAUGAUUUAAAGAAGCAUUGCUGAGAACCCUGCAGAGAGCAAACCACAGCCCUGCACUGCUCCCCACGGGGCACAGCUGAAAUUUGGGAAGAUUCUGUCUCACUAAGGGACAUGUCCUUCAGGCUCAGGACAGGUGGGGUGUUUGUCCUUCAGCAAGCCCAGGCUGCUGCUGUCUGCUCUUUUGGAAGGAAAAAGGGUAGGUUUUCUCUUUUUGAGGAAACAAGUGUGUGACUUACAUCAAAUCUGUGCUUAAAAUGCUCCUGAAACAGGAAUGCAGAGAAUGGGAAAGAAAUCACCUGUAAAAAGCACUAUUAAUAUGCCUCCAUCAAGUAUUGUCUUUUUUUGGUUGUUGUUGUUUUUGGGGAGGGUGUG